GACGUAGGGCGCGAGCGUUGUCCGGAUUUAUUGGGCGUAAAGAGCUCGUAGGCGGCUUGUUGCGUCAGCUGUGAAAACCCGCAGCUCAACUGUGGGCUUGCAGCUGAUACGGGCAGGCUUGAGUUCGGUAGGGGAGACUGGAAUUCCUGGUGUAGCGGUGAAAUGCGCAGAUAUCAGGAGGAAUACCGGUGGCGAAAGCGACUCUCUGGACGGCAACUGACGCUGAGGCACGAAAGCGUGGGGAGCAAACAGG
This 253-nucleotide ribosomal RNA is filed under the name uncultured bacterium. RNAcentral's name for it is "partial 16S ribosomal RNA". It matches the Rfam family "Bacterial small subunit ribosomal RNA", at positions 524 to 776 of the family's 1533-position model. The record is from RNAcentral.